UCUGACUGAUACCAUCUGUUCUGAGAAGCUAAGCAAGGUUGGCCUUGAUUAGUACUUAGAUAGGAGAUCUCCAGGGAAUACCAGGGCUGUGAAAU
This 95-nucleotide ribosomal RNA is filed under the name Notechis scutatus (mainland tiger snake). Lineage: Eukaryota; Metazoa; Chordata; Lepidosauria; Squamata; Elapidae. The record is from RNAcentral.